CCUUAUGUCUCUCAGUUCUUAGUGGUUGUGAUCCAUUAUCACUAUACUCCUCUCACUACUUUAAAGGCACAACAAAAACCAGAACACUGAGAUAAGGGUUUUUUAAAAUAAUAAAUACUAAAUAAUAGUGUUAAUAUUUUUUAGGAAAAUAACCUUUAAAAAAUAUUCUGAUAGAGUGAUAAAGAACACAUGUCUUACUUUCCAUGUAACAACUAAAGGGAAUGUGUACUUUGAGUUUUCAAAAUAUAGUGACUCAAUCAUUGUGAUAAAAUAAUUUUCUCAAAUUUUCCCAGUCUGAUAAUUUCUUCCCACCCCCAUCUACAGUUAUUUCUCCUGGCUGUCCUCCAUGAUUGCCUUCUUUUUCCUCAUGUGUGCGGCUCCAGGUGCAGUGGAGUCCACUAAUCUUGUCCGCUGAACUAUAUCCAAUAAACAUUCAUAUUUCUCCAUUUAUUUUCUAGAUGGUAAAUCUGCAUGUUAGAUAAUUUACAUGAAUUGUGAUCCAAACAGAACCUUCUCAUAGUAAAUGGCUGAUAUGUCUCUUAAUUCUCUCUUUUUUCUUUUUAGGGGCACACCUGUGGCAUACAAAAGCUCCCAGGCUAGGGGUCAAAUCUGAGCUGCAGCUGCCAGCGACUCCACAGCCACAGUGAGACAGGAUCCAAGCUGCAUCUGCAACCUACACCACAGCUCAUGUCAACACUGGAUCCUUAACCCACUGAGUCAGGCUAUGGAUCAAACCCAUAUCCUCAUAGAUACAACUCAGGCUUAUAACCCACUGAGCCACGACAGGAACUCCUUAAUUCUCUUAAUAUAACAGGCUUUCCUUCUUUUCUUGCACCAUUUUUUGUUUUGGAAAUUGUGUUGGUUGCCUUGUAGGGUUUCAUAUUGUUGAUUAAAAUUCUGUAGUGAUAUUUAUGAGUCCUAAACAUAGUGAUUGUUUUCAGAUCUACAUCAUGUCUGGCAGUGUUUGUUUUGGCUAUGUGCCACAAGACACUAAAAAUAAAUGACAAACUUGGGAAAGUAUGUGGCACCUGAAUUCAUAAAGAGCUUCCAAAAGGUAGGGAAGAAAGUACCUAGGAUACCUAGGUAGAAUAUCUGGAGAAAAUUGGUCUAAAGAUUUAUAAAAGAGAGAUCAUGGAAAAAGAAAUGCUGACUUUAAAAACAAUGCUGAACUCAAUCAUAAUGAGAUAAAUAGAAUAUAAAAACACACUAAGGUAGUAUUUCUCAUCUGUAUUAUUGGUGGAAAAUAUUUGUCAACUUGUUCUGCUGGUAGCUAUGGGAAUAUAGGCACAGUGAUACAAUGCUGGAGAGAAAUUAAAAUGGUAGAACUCAUAGGAAGGGGAAUUUGGCAAUAUCAAGUACAAUCACACAUUUAUUUUUCAUUUGGUCCAAUUAUCCCACUUGAAUAUAUGCUAAAAACAUGCUGGUAUUAAAAAAUUCAGAAAAACAAAUGGGAAAGUCUCCUUAUAUAAGAAUAGGAAUAUUUUUUAAUAGUCAAAGACUAGAAAUAUCCUCAAUGACCAUUUGCAAAGUCUUAUGAAAUACAUCCUGAUGCAGCCUUGCAAAAGAUUACUACACAUCUGGAAUAAAAAGAAUGAAGAUUUGCUCCUUACACUACCAUAUCUUGAUAUUUAGAAAAUAUUAAGGGGUAACAGCAAGGAAGAAAUAACUCUAAUAUGUGAUACUUUAUCUAAGAAGCAGCAGCAGCAGAUACCACAUAUAUACCUGUAUUUGGUUAUAUUUUUCAAAAUUAAUGAAAAGAUAAACCUAGAUUUAAAGCUCAUUAGCUUAAUUUUAAGCUAAACUAAACAAAAACCACUAUCUAUACAUACAGAGAGAGGCAAUCACAUGAAGAAGAAAGAAAACCCGUAAUUCUUUGGCUUUAUCUUGGUUUGCAGAUUUGACCCUGGGACCAUGUAAACAUAUCAUGCUUAGAUAAAACAAAAUUCAAUUUAGUAUGAGAAUUUCUUAAAAUUUAAAGAAAAAAUAAAAACAAGCUAAUGUUGUAUCCAAUUUUUAAUACAGCCACACAGAAAGGAAAUAUUCUAUGUGAUUUUAGAACAUUAAUUGGAGUACACAUCCCUAAUGAGAUAAAACUACUAAUACAAAAAAGUUAAAACUCAGUUUUUAAUAAUUAUGUUUUUGGUGGUAGUCUUCAUAUUGGUACACUGAUGCUUGUCAGUGAGUAGGUAUGUAUGUCAAUGAUCAGUGAAUAAGACGACAAAUUUUUUUUUUUUUGUCUUUUUAGGGCUGCACCUGCAGCAUAUGGAGGUUCCCAGGGUAGGGGUCUAAUCAGAGCUGUAGCCGCCAGCCUAGGCACAGCCACAGUAAUGCCAGAUUCUUAACCCAUUGAGUGAGGCCAGGGAUCAAACCCACAACCUCAUGGUUCUUUGUUGGAUUUGUUUCUGCUGCGCCGUGACAGGAACUCCAGAUGACAGAAUUUUUGAGAAUUGAGUUUUUCAGUGAGGAUAGAAGAUCAAGAUCUCAACUUGGUGAAGCAGGACUGGAGCUCAUAUUCUCUCAUAAAAACAGCAAAAUUACAACCAACUGCUGAAGAACCAUCAACACAAUAGACUGGAAAGUACCUACCAAAAAAGAUAUCCUAUACCAAAAGACAAAUAAGAGGCCAUAUCAAGACAGUAGGAGGGGUGAUUACAUGAUGUAAGUCAGGUAGGAAGCCCACAGACUGGAAAGUAUCUCAAUCACAGAGACUCACCCACGGGAGUAAGAGUUCUCAGCCCCACAUCAGGUUCCCAUGCCUGGGGGUCUGGCAUUGGGAGGAGAAGCCCCCAGAACAUUCUGCAUUGAGGGCCAUUGGGGCUUGUGCACAGGAGCUCCACAGGACUGGGAAAAACAAAGACUCCACUCUUGAAAGGUGCACAUAGACUCUUGUGUGCUCUAGGUCGCAAGGUGAAGCAGAGACUACAUAGCAAUCUUGGUCAGACCUGCCUGCAGAUCUUGAAGGAUCUCCUGGGCAAACAGGUGGUGACUGUGGCUUGUUUUGCGGGAAGGGCAUUGGGGCCAAAGGUCUGAAGAAUAAGUAUCAGUGUGAACUCCACUGGAGGUGGCCAUUCUGGAAAAAUUCUGGCUCACCCAUCAGAGCUGAGAAGCCCCAGGCCAAACAACUCAUCUAGUGGGAACACAGUCACACCCAUAAGCAAAAAGGCUGCCUAAAGACCUCCCAGGCAUAUGCAACCUCUAAUCACACACAGAGACAAAGCCCCACUCACCACAGGGGUAAGAAUCAGCUCCACCUAGCAGUGGGCAGACACCAAUCCCUCCCAUCAGGAAACCUGCAGCAAGCACCUGUACCAACCUCAACCACAAAGGGGCAGACAUCAGAAGCAAGACAGGAUAUAACCCUAGUGGCUGCAAAAAGGACACCACACAAAAAAUUUAUACAAAGUGAAAAGGCAGAGAAAUAUGACUCAGAUAAAGGAACAACAACAACAAAAGAAUCUAGGUGAACUGGAGAUCACCAACCUCCAUGAAAAAGACUUUAGACUAAUACUAAUGAUAGUAGAGAAGAGUCAAGAUCUUGGAAAUGAACUUGAGGCACCAUUUGAUAAAUUAUAAGAAAUACUGAAGAAAUAGAAUAUUUAAAGAUUUAAGCACGCAUAAAUGCAAAAUAUGAUAACUGAAAGAAAAAAUUCAAAAGGAGGAACCAACAGCAGAAUACAUGAGGCAGAAGAAUGAUUAAGUGAGGUG
Molecule: long non-coding RNA, 3705 nt
Filed under: Sus scrofa (pig)
Lineage: Eukaryota; Metazoa; Chordata; Mammalia; Artiodactyla; Suidae
Description: lncRNA (ENSSSCG00000053996.1)
Source: RNAcentral